This 271-nucleotide unclassified non-coding RNA is filed under the name Hevea brasiliensis (rubber tree). Lineage: Eukaryota; Viridiplantae; Streptophyta; Magnoliopsida; Malpighiales; Euphorbiaceae. The record is from RNAcentral.
ACAGUAUAUCCCACCUUUUUUUAACAAGGAACAUUAACGCUGAGGACAUGAUGUCAUCUUGCGGCACUUGAAGCAUAAAUUGGACUUUCAUCUUCAUUGGGGCAGUCUUUGCCUUCCCACCUUCAUCUCCAACCCAAAGCGAUGCCCAACCAAGGCGCACCUCUGAAUCAUAACCGGCUUUAAAUUUGUAAUCCUUACCAUAUGUGUGCUUGUACACAGCACUCCAGGUGUUGGAAUCAAAGUUGUACCAGUAGCUCAACUUAUUAUUGGG